GACGAACGCUGGCGGCGUGCCUAAUACAUGCAAGUCGAACGAGAGCGACCGGUGCUUGCACUGGUCAAUCUAGUGGCGAACGGGUGAGUACCACGUGGGUAACCUGCCCAUCAGAGGGGGAUAACAUCCGGAAACGGAUGCUAAAACCGCAUAGGUCUUCGAACCGCAUGGUUUGAAGAGGAAAAGAGGCGCAAGCUUCUGCUGAUGGAUGGACCCGCGGUGCAUUAGCUAGUUGGUGAGGUAACGGCUCACCAAGGCCGUGAUGCAUAGCCGACCUGAGAGGGUGAUCGGCCACAUUGGGACUGAGACACGGCCCAAACUCCUACGGGAGGCAGCAGUAGGGAAUCUUCCGCAAUGGACGCAAGUCUGACGGAGCAACGCCGCGUGAGUGAAGAAGGUUUUCGGAUCGUAAAACUCUGUUGUUAGAGAAGAACAAGUGCUAGAGUAACUGUUAGCGCCUUGACGGUAUCUAACCAGAAAGCCACGGCUAACUACGUG
RNAcentral lists this ribosomal RNA (498 nucleotides) under uncultured bacterium. RNAcentral describes it as "partial 16S ribosomal RNA". It matches the Rfam family "Bacterial small subunit ribosomal RNA", at positions 28 to 507 of the family's 1533-position model. The record is from RNAcentral.